CGCGGCCUAUCAGCUUGUUGGUGAGGUAACGGCUCACCAAGGCAUCGACGGGUAGCUGGUCUGAGAGGAUGAUCAGCCACACUGGGACUGAGACACGGCCCAGACUCCUACGGGAGGCAGCAGUGGGGAAUAUUGCACAAUGGGCGCAAGCCUGAUGCAGCAACGCCGCGUGCGGGAUGAAGGCCCUAGGGUUGUAAACCGCUUUCAGCAGGGAAGAAACUGACGGUACCUGCAGAAGAAGGUGCGGCCAACUACGUGCCAGCAGCCGCGGUGACACGUAGGCACCAAGCGUUGUCCGGAUUUAUUGGGCGUAAAGAGCUCGUAGGCGGUUCAGUAAGUCGGGUGUGAAAACUCUGGGCUCAACCCAGAGACGCCACCCGAUACUGCUGUGACUUGAGUACGGUAGGGGAGUGGGGAAUUCCUGGUGUAGCGGUGAAAUGCGCAGAUAUCAGGAGGAACACCAGUGGCGAAGGCGCCACUCUGGGCCGUAACUGACGCUGAGGAGCGAAAGCGUGGGUAGCAAACAGGAUUAGAUACCCUGGUAGUCCACGCCGUAAACGUUGGGCACUAGGUGUGGGUCUCAACCAACGAGAUCCGCGCCGUCGCUAACGCAUUAAGUGCCCCGCCUGGGGAGUACGG
RNAcentral lists this ribosomal RNA (639 nucleotides) under uncultured bacterium. Its description in RNAcentral is "bacterial SSU rRNA". It matches the Rfam family "Bacterial small subunit ribosomal RNA", at positions 232 to 885 of the family's 1533-position model. The record is from RNAcentral.